UACGUAGGUGGCAAGCGUUGUCCGGAUUUACUGGGUGUAAAGGGCGUGCAGCCGGGCUGACAAGUCAGAUGUGAAAUCCCGCGGCUCAACCGCGGAACUGCAUUUGAAACUGUCAGUCUUGAGUACCGGAGAGGUCAUCGGAAUUCCUUGUGUAGCGGUGAAAUGCGUAGAUAUAAGGAAGAACACCAGUGGCGAAGGCGGAUGACUGGACGGCAACUGACGGUGAGGCGCGAAAGCGUGGGGAGCGAACAGG
This 253-nucleotide ribosomal RNA is filed under the name uncultured bacterium. RNAcentral's name for it is "partial 16S ribosomal RNA". It matches the Rfam family "Bacterial small subunit ribosomal RNA", at positions 524 to 776 of the family's 1533-position model. The record is from RNAcentral.